GACGAACGCUGGCGGCGUGCUUAACACAUGCAAGUCGAACGGAAAGGCCCUGCUUUUGUGGGGUGCUCGAGUGGCGAACGGGUGAGUAACACGUGAGUAAACUGCACUUGACUUUGGGAUAACUUCAGGAAACUGGGGCUAAUAUCGGAUAGGAGCUACUGCUGCAUGGUGGGGGUUGGAAAGUUUCGGCGGUUGUGGCUGGACUGGAGGCUUAUCAGCUUGUUGGUGGGGUAGUGGCUUACCAAGGCUUUGACGGGUAGCCGGCCUGAGAGGGUGACCGGCCACAUUGGGACUGAGAGACGGCCCAGACUCCUACGGGAGGCAGCAGGGGGGAAUAUUGCAGAAUGAGCGGAAGCCUGAUGCAGCAGCGCCGCGUGCGGGAUGACGGCCUUCGGGGUGUAAACCGCUUUCGCCUGUGACGAAGCGUGAGUGACGGUAAUGGGUAAAGAAGCACCGGCUAACUACGUG
This 468-nucleotide ribosomal RNA is filed under the name uncultured bacterium. RNAcentral's name for it is "partial 16S ribosomal RNA". It matches the Rfam family "Bacterial small subunit ribosomal RNA", at positions 28 to 507 of the family's 1533-position model. The record is from RNAcentral.